CCCCGAAAAUCAGCCGAGAACCAAUGACCUCGACAAAAGCCUCGUGAGCCUCAGCAGGUUGUCCAUUAAACAUCACGAAAGCUCGUUUCACUUUCGUUGAAGCACGCGUCGGGUUAUUUCCAAAUAUCAGUCCAUUCGAACGACACAACGUCACGAAGUCUACCCUCCAACCCUUUUCAUUCUACCGCUCGUUUCGUUCAAUACGGUCGUUUCCUUCUCUCGUUUUCGCUAGCACGAAGGGCUUACGCGUUACGCUACGUGACACGAGAAUCACGUUACACCCAUAUAACACGACCGCUAACGAUCACGGCUAAACGAGCCAGCUACGUGACUAAAUCACGAGCCACGCAAGUCCCGCGAGUCAUGAACGCGACGACCACGAUCCUCUCUCUGUCUGCAUAUCGACGUGGUAGAUACUCUUCUACGCUGCCGGCGAUACCAAGCAAGAAGAAGAGUGUGCAGCAUGGUGAAAAGUGCUCGUUAGCAUUUCCACGUGUAUUGACAUCUGCCGUGAAUGGUAAUAUUAAACUUUACCAACAUUUCCACGUACACGCGACAUAGGAAACAUUCAACAUCGAUUGGGAAACUAGUAUGCCAUUAUAGGAUGGAAAAACGAAGAAAGGAAGCAAGGAACGAGAACUACGAAGGAAAAGAAAGAACGAAGAAUAAAAAAUUGACGAGAGUUCUACGGACUGACGCCGGCAGGUAAUUAAAAUACAGCGUCGAUAUCGCGUCGGGUAAUAUUAUCGAGCGCAUGUAAAUUGAAACACGAUAUCAGUUAGCGAUACUGUCUGCAACGCAUAUGCAUUCUCAUUACGGCUAUAUUAAGCUUGAUUCAAUUAUACGAUACACCGAUUGCGCAACUGAAUAACGAGCGACGCUUGAAAAUUAACGAUAAGGCAGUUUUUAUUUCGGACCGCGUCAAACAAUCCUCGAUAUCGUCGAAAAGAUGCGAAGAUUUUGUUUUAAAAGAUAUAUUGUAGAUUUGCAUAUCUUUUAUGUUUCCAUUCUUGAUUAAAAAUCUAGCAUAGUAUCUCUUGCAUAACGUAUAGGACUUGUGAGAAAAACAACCUUUGUUCGUGUUUAGCCUUUUACCAGGGGAUCAAAAGAAUAUUAUAACAUUCGUAAUUCGAUGUUCAAUGUAUUUCAAUUCUUUGAUGUAGAAUAUUCAUUAGACUACAUGAUUGUAUCUUAGAAAAGCGUAUGUCCGUGUAUUUAUAAUUAUAUCUUAGGAAAGCUGGAAUUAAUCUAAUCGUGAAAUCAUAGACCUUAUAAGAGAAUUUUUUAUAAAACUGAUUAAUUUCCAUUAGAUAAUACGUCAAGAUAUAGAUCAUUUUUUUAUGCUAUCGAUUACCCACAUCAGGUGACGAAUGUAACUUUUAUUAUUAGAAGUACGUAUUCGUUUAAAAUAUUCGAAU
Long non-coding RNA from Bombus impatiens (common eastern bumble bee), 1418 nucleotides. RefSeq lists it as uncharacterized. Lineage: Eukaryota; Metazoa; Arthropoda; Insecta; Hymenoptera; Apidae. The transcript is spliced from 3 exons. The record is from RefSeq and is a predicted model, not a curated record.